AUUGAACGCUGGCGGCAUGCCUUACACAUGCAAGUCGAACGGUAACAGGUCUUCGGAUGCUGACGAGUGUCGAACGGGUGAGGAAUACAUCGGAACGUGCCUAGGCGUGGGGGGUAACUACUCGAAAUAGUGGCUAAAACCGGCUGAGAGCUCCGGCUGAAACACGGGGAUCGCAAGUCCCUGGUCUACUUGAGCUGCCGAUGGCAGAUUAGGUAGUUGGUGGGAUAAAAGCUUACCAAGCCGACGAUCUGUAGCUGGUCUGAGAGGACGAUCAGCCACACUGGGACUGAGACACGGCCCAGACUCCUACGGGAGGCAGCAGUGGGGAAUUUUGGACAAUGGGCGCAAGCCUGAUCCAGCAAUGCCGCGUGCAGGAUGAAGGCCUUCGGGUUGCAACCUGCUUUUGUACGGAACGAAAAGCCCCGGGUUAAUACCCUGGGGUCAUGACGGUACCGUAAGAAUAAGCACCGGCUAACUACGUGCCAGCCGCCGCCGUAA
This 498-nucleotide ribosomal RNA is filed under the name uncultured bacterium. Its description in RNAcentral is "partial 16S ribosomal RNA". It matches the Rfam family "Bacterial small subunit ribosomal RNA", at positions 30 to 523 of the family's 1533-position model. The record is from RNAcentral.